GACGAACGCUGGCGGCGUGCCUAAUACAUGCAAGUAGAACGCACAGUUUAUACCGUAGCUUGCUACACCAUAAACUGUGAGUUGCGAACGGGUGAGUAACGCGUAGGUAACCUGCCUGGUAGCGGGGGAUAACUAUUGGAAACGAUAGCUAAUACCGCAUAAUAUUAAUUAUUGCAUGAUAAUUGAUUGAAAGAUGCAAUUGCAUCACUACCAGAUGGACCUGCGUUGUAUUAGCUAGUAGGUGAGGUAACGGCUCACCUAGGCGACGAUACAUAGCCGACCUGAGAAGGUGAUCGGCCACACUGGGACUGAGACACGGCCCAGACUCCUACGGGAGGCAGCAGUAGGGAAUCUUCGGCAAUGGACGAAAGUCUGACCGAGCAACGCCGCGUGAGUGAAGAAGGUUUUCGGAUCGGAAAGCUCUGUUGUAAGAGAAGAAAGGGUGUGAGAGUGGAAAGUUCACACUGUGACGGUAUCUUACCAGAAAGGGACGGCUAACUACGUG
This 505-nucleotide ribosomal RNA is filed under the name uncultured bacterium. RNAcentral describes it as "partial 16S ribosomal RNA". It matches the Rfam family "Bacterial small subunit ribosomal RNA", at positions 28 to 507 of the family's 1533-position model. The record is from RNAcentral.